GACGAACGCUGGCGGCGUGCUUAACACAUGCAAGUCGAACGCUGAAGCUUGGUGCUUGCACUGGGUGGAUGAGUGGCGAACGGGUGAGUAAUACGUGAGUAACCUGCCCUUGACUCUGGGAUAAGCCUGGGAAACUGGGUCUAAUACUGGAUACGACAUGUCACCGCAUGGUGGUGUGUGGAAAGGGUUUUACUGGUUUUGGGUGGGCUCACGGCCUAUCAGCUUGUUGGUGGGGUAAUGGCUCACCAAGGCGACGACGGGUAGCCGGCCUGAGAGGGUGACCGGCCACACUGGGACUGAGACACGGCCCAGACUCCUACGGGAGGCAGCAGUGGGGAAUAUUGCACAAUGGGCGGAAGCCUGAUGCAGCGACGCCGCGUGAGGGAUGACGGCCUUCGGGUUGUAAACCUCUUUCAGCACGGAAGAAGCGAAAGUGACGGUACGUGCAGAAGAAGCGCCGGCUAACUACGUG
RNAcentral lists this ribosomal RNA (472 nucleotides) under uncultured bacterium. Its description in RNAcentral is "partial 16S ribosomal RNA". It matches the Rfam family "Bacterial small subunit ribosomal RNA", at positions 28 to 507 of the family's 1533-position model. The record is from RNAcentral.